GAAAUAGGUAUUCUCCGGUAAUGACAUUGAAUGUUUCGUGAUUGUUAUUGCUUGAGAAUACAAAUUGC
This is a non-coding RNA of Gongylonema pulchrum, 68 nucleotides long. NCBI's taxonomy places the organism in Eukaryota, Metazoa, Nematoda, Chromadorea, Rhabditida, Gongylonematidae. The record is from Rfam.